This is a long non-coding RNA of Cyprinus carpio (common carp), 1889 nucleotides long. RefSeq lists it as uncharacterized. The record is from RefSeq and is a predicted model, not a curated record. Lineage: Eukaryota; Metazoa; Chordata; Actinopteri; Cypriniformes; Cyprinidae. The transcript is spliced from 3 exons.
UCGUUCCCGCUCAACAUACUUCCGGAAAUAGAAGUUGUUUGAGAAGAGCGUCAUAAAGAAAUAGAAGCAUUCGGCUAAUUUUAAAUCAGUGUACUAUCAGAGGAUUCUGAAACUGAUAUUUUAAGGGAAAAAAAUUUAUACAGUUGCUUUCAUCAAGGAAGGACCCCUAUUUUUGUUCCAAAUCGUGUUGGAGGAUUAAAUGUUUGUUGGGAUUAUUUGAUAGAAGUUCGUUUAGUAAACGAGGAAGUAUCCAACUGUAUUGGAUUUGACAGCAGCAACAUCACAAAAUCGCUCAAUAAACCCAUACCUGAAAGCAUCGAAGGCAUUCAUAAACACCUCAGAUGAAGCAAUUGUGCUAUAACUUAUUCCACCCAAUACCUUUUUCCUGGAGUUAAGUAAACCCAAGGUCAGAUGUGCCGUUGUGCUCGAUAACUGCUGAAAUGAGGUAUCAAUACGUGGACCAAAUGGAAACAGAAGAAUUCAAUCUCAGCUCUCUCUCAUGCACAGCCACCGUCAUCCAGUGCAUGUGGUCUGUCUGUCUGUCAGUAAGCUGUCUAUCACAUGCGGUCCAGGCUAUCCAGUCAGGCCUCAGGCACACACUCAAAGAAGCCUGGCUGUGCCUGAUGGAUUCCAAGUGCACGCCUCCCUCCGAAACUUUCCAUCGGCUUACACCGAGAUGCACUUCUGUCAGGAGAAAAUAAUGAGCAAUGCAAACUCGCUUGACCUCUGUGCACUGAGGAAGAUCUUCUCUGCCGACAUAUUUUGAAACCUCAUGAACUGGCCCUGCAUUAAUAUGGACAAAUUGCAAUACAACCCCUCUGAUCACAUGUCAUGUUUGUUGAGUAUUUCCACUGGUGUUGAUCUCCGAAGCCGUCGGAUAAAUAUUUCAGCAUCGCUCUUUUUCACCCAUCAUAAUAGUGAACUUAAUGCAAACCUUUGGUAGUGGGCAGCAAUCAGUCCUCGGCCAAAUGCAAUCAGACAGGUGCUUCAAAUGCAAUCAGGCUGAGAUGUUAGUCAUUAAAGUGCUAAUAAGUAUUCUUAUGUCCUGUAAGACCAGCGUAGGUAACAGUGCAGAUCUUUCUCCAGCCAUUAUAAUGCAAUCUAGACACUUUCCAUGCAAUUACUUUCAGAGGUACUGUGAAGCAUUAUUAUUUCUUAGCUGUGCAUAUGUCAAUUUUUUUCCGGCCAGGCUGAAUAUGGACACUGGCCAGCGUGCUAACGCUUCUGUACUUGGCCUUCCAUACGCUAAAUAAAUAAACAAGGUGAUGAUGAGCGCUGCAGGAGUGUGUGUGCUUCUCAUGAUGAUUCACCUAAAUAACAAGCAAAGGAAAGUGCAUUUGGCAAGCGUUUUAUAAUCAGAAAAGCAGAAAGUUACUGCAUCUCAAAGUGCACUCUAUUCCUUUGCAAGCUGCUUUGGCUUAUUGAGUUACUGCCCCCUGCUGCCCAGUGCAUACAUUGCAUAUUGUGUUAUUUGAAGUGCAGAUAUUGCACGUUAGAGCUAACCAAUUAUAUAGGCACAUUCAAAGGCCACUUACACCUCUCCAGUUUAUUACAUGGUUAGUGAAAUAAAGUGAUUUUGGAAACCAUGCAACAAGCUGUAUGUAUGCCUGAAAUCCUGCUGCAUGUCAGUACAGCUCUCUUUGUGAGAGUCAUUGCCAUUUGCUUUCCUGUCAUGGAUUUGGAGAUUUUCUAAGUGUGUGUUUCUCCAUCUCAGGUGAUGGUGGAUUAUUUGCACCCUAUGAUUAAAUGAAAAUCAGUGGUGUUUGAAGAUUUUCUUGGGUUUCUAAAGGAUGAAUGUGACCAGUCAUAACAAAUGUUGUACACCAAUAUAUAGUUGUACAUCAAUUAAUUAUAUGUCAAAAUGUCAAAAUAUUGGACGUGUACUUUUU